CCAGUGGAGUUGCUGUUGCCUG
RNAcentral lists this microRNA (22 nucleotides) under Echinops telfairi (small Madagascar hedgehog). RNAcentral describes it as "Ete-Mir-194-P4_3p* (star (passenger))". The record is from RNAcentral. Lineage: Eukaryota; Metazoa; Chordata; Mammalia; Afrosoricida; Tenrecidae.